UGGACCAUAGGCGCAACGGAAACGCGCCUGACUACGGUUCAGGAGAUUUCUGGUUCGAAUUCUGGCUGGCUCAG
This is a non-coding RNA of Trichonephila inaurata madagascariensis, 74 nucleotides long. The record is from the annotation of a GenBank genome assembly. Lineage: Eukaryota; Metazoa; Arthropoda; Arachnida; Araneae; Nephilidae.